CAAUAGAUACCCGGGUAGUCCACGCCCUAAACGAUGUCUACUAGUUGUCGGGUCUUAAUUGACUUGGGUAACGCAGCUAACGCGUGAAGUAGACCGCCUGGGGAGUACGGUCGCAAGAUUAAAACUCAAAGGAAUUGACGGGGACCCGCACAAGCGGUGGAUGAUGUGGAUUAAUUCGAUGCAACGCGAAAAACCUUACCUACCCUUGACAUGUCAGGAACCUCCGAGAGAUUGGAGGGUGCCCGAAAGGGAACCUGAACACAGGUGCUGCAUGGCUGUCGUCAGCUCGUGUCGUGAGAUGUUGGGUUAAGUCCCGCAACGAGCGCAACCCUUGUCAUUAGUUGCUACGCAAGAGCACUCUAAUGAGACUGCCGGUGACAAACCGGAGGAAGGUGGGGAUGACGUCAAGUCCUCAUGGCCCUUAUGGGUAGGGCUUCACACGUCAUACAAUGGUACAUACAGAGGGCCGCCAACCCGCGAGGGGGAGCUAAUCCCAGAAAGUGUAUCGUAGUCCGGAUCGCAGUCUGCAA
RNAcentral lists this ribosomal RNA (530 nucleotides) under uncultured bacterium. RNAcentral's name for it is "bacterial SSU rRNA". It matches the Rfam family "Bacterial small subunit ribosomal RNA", at positions 776 to 1310 of the family's 1533-position model. The record is from RNAcentral.